Molecule: ribosomal RNA, 253 nt
Filed under: uncultured bacterium
Lineage: Bacteria
Description: partial 16S ribosomal RNA
Rfam family: Bacterial small subunit ribosomal RNA
Source: RNAcentral
CACGGGGGGAGCAAGCGUUGUUCGGAAUCACUGGGCGUAAAGGGCGUCUAGGCGGUCAGAUAAGUCGGAUGUGAAAUGCCCCGGCUCACCCGGGGACCGGCAUCCCAAACUGUCUGGCUUGAGUAUGGGAGAGGAUGUGGGAAUUCCUGGUGUAGCGGUGAAAUGCGUAGAUAUCAGGAGGAACACCGGUGGCGAAGGCGCACAUCUGGCCCAAUACUGACGCUAAAGCGCGAAAGCUAGGGGAGCAAACGGG